GUCAACAGUGAUUACAAAAAAAAAUCUCAUAAAGACCAAAAAGUAUUACAAGAAAUAAUAUAUACAUGCAUACACACACUUGCAUACACACAAAUGUGUUUUAGUUUUUGGAUGAUUCUUAAAUUGUAAAGCAAAUUUUCAUAAAUAAUUCUAAGUCAAAGUAUUGGCCAUGAGAAGACCUGGCAACAGCACUGGGGAAAAAAAGUUGCAUCACUUAAAUUAUCAUGUCAAAAAAAUUCUAGCACACAAUGAUUAUAAUUAUAUGUAUGUAUGACAAUAAGAUAACCACAGAGAAAAAUAAAUCAGUUAAUGAUUUCAUAAUCAUACCUUAUAUAUGUGUGACAUUUUCAGUUCUUUGACUACAUUAAAGUAAUUUGAAUUGGUUACCUGCUGUGGGUAGGAAGUCUAAUUCUUUCACAUCUCUGUUGUAAAAUUUGGUUCCAUUCUUGAUUGCUUUUGUUGCUAACCAUUAAUAAGCCAGGUAUAUCAUCACUUUGGGAAUCCUGUUAAGAUCCAUUUUACAAGGCUCACAUAAAGCUGACUUACACUUUGGGAAUAUACCUAGCAUUCUGGAAACUGUGCUCUCUCAGGAAGCAGGUUAAAUGGGCACAUGUGUAGCCUAGCAACAAAAUAACUGUGUAGCUGUCUAUCAUUGCCAUUUUCCAUUUCACCUAAAUCAAGAGCAAGAAAAGCCUUAUGGAUAAGGGGAAAAUAAAUAAGUUAUUGAUUUUAUUAACAUAGCAAAAACAAAUCUGCCAGUCAGAAUGGAGUUAUUGUCCCGAAAGCCUGAAAAAAAGUACAGUUAUAGGAGCACAGGCAGGCAUAGGGCAAAGGUUCCCUGAGUCAGUGCUCUUUUAGUAUUUAUUAAAAUUAAUUAUAUUUCCUGCACCUUCUCUGUUAGUGGUAAUGCCUAGUGUGUUUAUUGGACAGGAUAUUAGAAAUUUACCACAAAUAAUCCUCGAGUAAUCAAACGUUGUUUCAAUUACAGUUUAAAACCUGAUUAAAUUCAUUUUUCAAGUGCUUAUAAAGAAUUUCACAAUCUCCUGAUUUAUCCAGGAGAAAAUUGGGUUUUCUAGAUUUUCUUAAAUAUAUAAUGUCUUCUGGAGUGAAAUUAGCUUAUCUUUCUUUUUAUUUUUAUUUUUUUUGAGAUGGAGUUUCGCUCUUGUGAAAUCACACAGUAUGUAAUCUUGACUUCUUUCACUUAGAAUAAUUAUUUAAAAACUCAUCCAUAUUGCUGUGUGAAUCAAGAGUGCACUCCUUCCUGUUACUUGGUUAUCUCAUUGUGCUUUUAAUGUGCAGUUCCCUUAAUGAUUAAUGAAAUUGACUUUUCAUGUGUUUAUUGGCUAUCUGCAUGUCUCCUUUGAUUAAGUACCUGCUUAAAUGUGUCUAUUUUUUAACUGCAUUGUCUUAUUAUUGUUUUUUUGUUGUUUUUGUUUUUUUUUUUUUUUUUUGAGAUGGAGUUUCGCUCUUGCUGCCCAGGCUGAAGUGCAAUGGCACAAUCUGAGCUCACCGCAACCUCCGCCUCCCAGGUUCAAGCAAUUCUCCUGCUUCAGCCUCCAGAGUAGCUACGAUUACAGGCAUGCACCACCACGCCUGGCUAAUUUUGUAUUUUUAGCAGAGACGGGGUUUCUCCAUGUUGGUCAGGCUGGUCUUGAACUCCCGACCUCAGAUGAUCCGCCCACCUUGGCCUCCCAAAGUGCUAGGAUUACAGACGUGAGCCACUGAACCCAGCUUUUCUCACAGUCUGUAGCUUGAUUUUUCAAUUUCUUAACAAUGUCUUUUGAAGAACAAAAGUCAUUAAUUUUGAUGAGGUACAAUUUAAAAAUUUUUCUUUUUAUAGAUCAUGCAUUAUGUGUCAUUUUUUAGAAAUAUAUGCCAAAUAUCAGGUCACUAAAAUUUAUUCCUAUAUUUUCUUCUAGAAGGUUAACUUUUACAUUUAGCCCUAUGAUCUAUUUCAAAAUAAUGUUGUAUAUGACAGGAGGUAAGAAUCAAUGUUUGUUAUUUUGGGGGAUAUAUGGCUAUCCAAAUGUUUUGGUUCCAUUUGUUGAAAAGAUUC
This 2056-nucleotide long non-coding RNA is filed under the name Pan troglodytes (chimpanzee). Its description in RNAcentral is "long non-coding RNA NONPTRT011516". Lineage: Eukaryota; Metazoa; Chordata; Mammalia; Primates; Hominidae. The record is from RNAcentral.